Molecule: long non-coding RNA, 615 nt
Filed under: Brassica napus (rape)
Lineage: Eukaryota; Viridiplantae; Streptophyta; Magnoliopsida; Brassicales; Brassicaceae
Description: long non-coding RNA (BNAP_LNC005390)
Source: RNAcentral
UAAUCUUAAUCGUAAUCAAAAUUAUAAAUCUUCACCCUAACAUCUUUAUCUUUAUCUAAUAUAAAAAUAAAACAAAAUCCUAACCUAAUGCUAUUUAAAUAAAGCAUCCCAGUGGGUUAUAAAUACAAAUCAGGUUGAUGGGAAAGACAUACCAGACGAGAAACAAUCAAUAAAGCAUUAGAUCCCCAGUUUGUUGUUGAUCAUGGAACCCGGACUGAUCGUCUUCAUCGUCUCCAUCAGCGUUAUAUGCUCUAUAUUAGUUAUAUAUAUGAUAUACGACUGCAUAACGAUCACGAAGAGUCGUCGAGUAGGUCUUGAAUCCCGUGCGAGUGGACAGGAAGUGCAAUAUGACGACGAGCUUGGUCUCGCUCAUCAACCAAAACCCACCCAAUGAUUGAUUGAUUAUAUAUCACUUUUGCUAUUAGGGUUUCUCAUCUCGAGUUUGUUUUGUUUCAUUAGUUUUUUUCUUCUUUUCAUUGUGUGUUAUUAUUUUACUUAAUUGAGAGAUUAUCGUUCUACUUAAAGAAAACAUGUGUUUUUCUGUGCUUUCCCCCCAACACAUGAACAAAGAUUGAACUAUGAAGGAAUGGCAUCUUAAAUUUGCAUUGUUCUAGU